GACGAACGCUGGCGGCGUGCUUAACACAUGCAAGUCGAGCGGAAAGGCCCUGCUUUUGUGGGGUGCUCGAGUGGCGAACGGGUGAGUAACACGUGAGUAACCUGCCCUUGACUUUGGGAUAACUUCAGGAAACUGGGGCUAAUACAGGAUAGGAGCUCCUGCUGCAUGGUGGGGGUUGGAAAGUUUCGGCGGUUGGGGAUGGACUCGCGGCUUAUCAGCUUGUUGGUGGGGUAGUGGCUUACCAAGGCUUUGACGGGUAGCCGGCCUGAGAGGGUGACCGGCCACAUUGGGACUGAGAUACGGCCCAGACUCCUACGGGAGGCAGCAGUGGGGAAUAUUGCACAAUGGGCGGAAGCCUGAUGCAGCAACGCCGCGUGCGGGAUGACGGCCUUCGGGUUGUAAACCGCUUUCGCCUGUGACGAAGCGUGAGUGACGGUAAUGGGUAAAGAAGCACCGGCUAACUACGUG
This 468-nucleotide ribosomal RNA is filed under the name uncultured bacterium. RNAcentral describes it as "partial 16S ribosomal RNA". It matches the Rfam family "Bacterial small subunit ribosomal RNA", at positions 28 to 507 of the family's 1533-position model. The record is from RNAcentral.